RNAcentral lists this ribosomal RNA (677 nucleotides) under uncultured bacterium. RNAcentral's name for it is "bacterial SSU rRNA". It matches the Rfam family "Bacterial small subunit ribosomal RNA", at positions 127 to 823 of the family's 1533-position model. The record is from RNAcentral.
UGGUCCAUACAGGGGGAUAACACUUAGAAAUAGGUGCUAAUACCGCAUAACAACAGAAAGCGCAUGCUUUUUGUUUGAAAACCAAGGUGGUAUGGGAUGGACCCGCGUCUGAUUAGCUGGUUGGCGGGGUAAAGGCCCACCAAGGCGACGAUCAGUAGCCGGCCUGAGAGGGUGGACGGCCACAUUGGGACUGAGACACGGCCCAAACUCCUACGGGAGGCAGCAGUGGGGAAUAUUGCACAAUGGGGGAAACCCUGAUGCAGCGACGCCGCGUGAGUGAAGAAGUAAUUCGUUAUGUAAAGCUCUAUCAGCAGGGAAGAAAAUGACGGUACCUGAGUAAGAAGCCCCGGCUAACUACGUGCCAGCAGCCGCGGUAAUACGUAGGGGGCAAGCGUUAUCCGGAUUUACUGGGUGUAAAGGGAGCGUAGACGGCAGUGCAAGUCUGGAGUGAAAGGCGGGGGCUCAACCCCCGGACUGCUCUGGAAACUGUACGGCUGGAGUGCAGGAGAGGUAAGUGGAAUUCCUAGUGUAGCGGUGAAAUGCGUAGAUAUUAGGAGGAACACCAGUGGCGAAGGCGGCUUACUGGACUGUAACUGACGUUGAGGCUCGAAAGCGUGGGGAGCAAACAGGAUUAGAUACCCUGGUAGUCCACGCCGUAAACGAUGAUCACUAGGUGU